Molecule: ribosomal RNA, 475 nt
Filed under: uncultured Pelotomaculum sp.
Lineage: Bacteria; Bacillati; Bacillota; Clostridia; Eubacteriales; Desulfotomaculaceae
Description: bacterial SSU rRNA
Rfam family: Bacterial small subunit ribosomal RNA
Source: RNAcentral
UUGACGGGGACCCGCACAAGCGGUGGAGCAUGUGGUUUAAUUCGACGCAACGCGAAGAACCUUACCAGGGCUUGACAUCCCCUGACCGCGUAUGAAAGUACGUUUUCACCCUCGGGUGACAGGGAGACAGGUGGUGCAUGGUUGUCGUCAGCUCGUGUCGUGAGAUGUUGGGUUAAGUCCCGCAACGAGCGCAACCCCUACGUUUAGUUGCUAACGCGUGAAGGCGAGCACUCUAGACGAACUGCCGUUGACAAAACGGAGGAAGGUGGGGAUGACGUCAAAUCAUCAUGCCCCUUAUGUUCUGGGCUACACACGUGCUACAAUGGCCGGUACAGACGGAGGCGAAGCCGCGAGGCGGAGCAAAUCCGAAAAAGCCGGUCUCAGUUCGGAUUGCAGGCUGCAAUUCGCCUGCAUGAAGUCGGAAUCGCUAGUAAUCGCAGGUCAGCAUACUGCGGUGAAUACGUUCCCGGGCCUU